RNAcentral lists this small RNA (850 nucleotides) under Haploplasma modicum. RNAcentral's name for it is "bacterial LSU rRNA". The stretch from base 399 to 850 matches the Rfam family "Bacterial large subunit ribosomal RNA", at positions 1 to 497 of the family's 2925-position model. The record is from RNAcentral. Lineage: Bacteria; Bacillati; Mycoplasmatota; Mollicutes; Acholeplasmatales; Acholeplasmataceae.
CGCCCGUCAAACCACGAAAGUUAACAAUACCCAAAACCGGUGGCCUAACCAUUUAUGGAGGGAGCCGUCUAAGGUAGGGUUGAUGAUUGGAGUUAAGUCGUAACAAGGUAUCCGUACCGGAAGGUGCGGAUGGAUCACCUCCUUUCUAAGGAGUAAAACUAAAAUUACAAUCAAUAUACAUUCUCAUCAUAUUCAGUUUUGAAGGAUUUUCCUUCUUUUAAUUUAUGGGCCUAUAGCUCAGCUGGUUAGAGCGCACGCCUGAUAAGCGUGAGGUCGAUGGUUCGAGUCCAUUUAGGCCCACCAUUAUAGGCUAUAUGGCUAUAGUCUGUAAAUAAGUAUUGAGAUCUUUGAAAAGUAGAUAAAUUCUGUCGUAACAAAUAAUAUAUAAAAAGACAAAAGGUUAAGGAAAAAAGGGCGCACAGUGGAUGCCUUGGCACUAAGAGCCGAUGAAGGACGCAACUAACGGCGAAACGCCACGGGGAGCAGUAAGUAUGUACCGAUCCGUGGAUAUCCGAAUGGGGGAACCCGGCAUGUUGGAGACAUGUCACUUGUGAAAACAAGAGGGAACGCAGGGAAUUGAAAUAUCUUAGUACCUGCAGGAAAAGAAAGUAAUAACGAUUCUGCUAGUAGCGACGAGCGAACGCGGAGGAGCCCGAUACAACAGCAGUUACAAAACUAUUAAUGAGAAGAAUAAUUUGGGAAGGUUAACCAAAGAAGGUGAAAGUCCUGUAAUCGAAAUUAAUAGACUGGUGUAUCAAAGAGUACGGCGAGACACGAGAAAUCUUGCUGGAACGAGUAAGGAGGACCAUCUCCUAAGGCUAAAUACUACUUAGUGACCGAUAGUGAACCA